UGGCAUCACGAGGGCUUAACUGUCUCCCCUCCCCAGUCAAUGAAAUUGAUCUCCCCGUGCAGAAGCGGGGAUAAUACCAUAAGACGAGAAGACCCUAUGGAGCUUUAGACGUCAGAGCAGCCCAUGUAAAGCACCCCUUAACAAAGGAAAAAACCAAAUGAAGCCUGCCCUAAUGUCUUUGGUUGGGGCGACCGCGGGGAAAUACAAAACCCCCAUGUGGAGUAGGAAUACACAUUCCUAAACCCAAGAGCUCCCGCUCUAAUGAACAGAAAUUCUGACCAAUAAGAUCCGGCACACGCCGAUCAACGGACCGAGUUACCCUAGGGAUAACAGCGCAAUCCCCUUAAAGAGCCCUUAUCGACAAGGGGGUUUACGACCUCGAUGUUGGAUCAGGACAUCCUAAUGGUGCAGCCGCUAUUAAGGGUUCGUUUGUUCAACGAUUAAAGACCUACGUGAGCGGACUGAG
RNAcentral lists this ribosomal RNA (466 nucleotides) under Pagrus major (red seabream). Its description in RNAcentral is "partial 16S ribosomal RNA". It matches the Rfam family "Bacterial large subunit ribosomal RNA", at positions 1997 to 2614 of the family's 2925-position model. Lineage: Eukaryota; Metazoa; Chordata; Actinopteri; Spariformes; Sparidae. The record is from RNAcentral.